UGAAACAGCCAUUUCACCCUGCAGCACAAGACUGGUUGCUCACUGAAGCUAGGAAGGGCUGAGCCUGGCUAGUACCUGGAUGGGAGAAAACAUGGGAAAUCUAGUCAUGUGUAAA
This 115-nucleotide ribosomal RNA is filed under the name Danio rerio (zebrafish). The record is from RNAcentral. Lineage: Eukaryota; Metazoa; Chordata; Actinopteri; Cypriniformes; Danionidae.